UCACCUCACUAUAAGCUGGCAGAAUGCUUGCAGUAUUAACUCUACGGAGUCUUUGUCAAUAAGGACGUGACACAAAAAAAAAAAACAAUAUUUCUUUCUUCUCAAAUUAUAUUUAAUGAAUCUUAAAAAAGCCCUGGAAUUUACCUAUAUGUAUAAUAUAACACGCUGAGUCUUUACGCCAACAUAUUCAUGUGUAUAAUUAUUAUUUUACAGAGCAUAUCCACAAUAACACAUCAAAGCUGAACGUACUUUAAUGACUUUUUUCAUCGGAAAGCUCAACAAUUACGACACAGCGUUCUUUUCCUGCGAGUGGCCAACUAGCCGUUACCGAUUCCAAACAGAAGAAAUUCUUCUUAAUAAAAGAACAAUAACUCAAAGGUCCAAAAAAAAAUAAUACCACCCUGUGUCAAAUAAAAUUCAUGAGUGGUUGGAAAAAAAUCAAACAUUCGGAGGUCUGUACGGAGGUGCCAUAUUUAUUUAAGAGGCCAGGGUACGUCCCCAGUGGAUCGUGACGUCGAAUGUUAAUAUCAAACGAUGAAGACGUUUGGCGGACGUGCCGAGACGACGAAACGACUCGGACGGAGUUCUUGAAAACCAUUUUAUAUUGUGUUUCGUACAAUGAAUUAAUGUCGCGUUCAUUUCGCUGAAUAUUAAAAAAUGUAAAGGA
Danaus plexippus (monarch butterfly) is the source of this 667-nucleotide long non-coding RNA. RefSeq lists it as uncharacterized. The transcript is spliced from 2 exons. NCBI's taxonomy places the organism in Eukaryota, Metazoa, Arthropoda, Insecta, Lepidoptera, Nymphalidae. The record is from RefSeq and is a predicted model, not a curated record.